Nematostella vectensis (starlet sea anemone) is the source of this 565-nucleotide long non-coding RNA. RefSeq lists it as uncharacterized. Lineage: Eukaryota; Metazoa; Cnidaria; Anthozoa; Actiniaria; Edwardsiidae. The record is from RefSeq and is a predicted model, not a curated record. The transcript is spliced from 2 exons.
UGAGGUGUGAUCGAUGUUGAAUGCUUUCAGCGAGAGUUUUAGGGUGUCUUUAAAUCUCUUCUUCUGGCCACCUUUGCAGCGUUUUCCGUGCUGAAGCUCACCAAACAGAAGUUUCUUAGGAAGCCGUUCAUCAGGCAUACGAGCUACGUGCCCCGCCCAGCGGAGCUGAGACUGUUUCAGGAUGGUGUGAAUGCUGGGCAGACCUGCACGUGCAAGGACCUCAGUAUCCGGGAUCUUUUCUUGCCAGCGAACAUUGAGAAUUUUCCUCAGACAGCCUUCCAAAUGCGGCGCUUGCUAUGGCGAGUCUGUUGGUAACUUCGUCAUCGAGGACAACGUUUCUGGAGAGAGUACUGCCAAGGUAGGUAAAUUUGUCAACAGCAUUGAGUUUUUGACCAUUGAUGAUGAUGUUAGGUUCAGUGUAGGGCUUUCCAGGCGCUGGCUGAUGCAUAGCCUCCGUCUUUUUGGUGUUUAUUUUGAGGCCGAAGUUGUUACAGGCACUAGAAAACAGAUCUACGCUGUGUUGCAGGUCUGCUUGAGAGGUAGCAUUGAGGGCACAAUCGUCAGC